GGGUAUAGCUCAAGUGGUAGAGUGCCUGCUUAGCAUGCACAAGGUCCUGGGUUCAAUCCCCAGUACCUCCA
Molecule: transfer RNA, 71 nt
Filed under: Camelus bactrianus (Bactrian camel)
Lineage: Eukaryota; Metazoa; Chordata; Mammalia; Artiodactyla; Camelidae
Also listed under: 1 other name
Rfam family: tRNA
About the family: Transfer RNA (tRNA) molecules are approximately 80 nucleotides in length. Their secondary structure includes four short double-helical elements and three loops (D, anti-codon, and T loops). Further hydrogen bonds mediate the characteristic L-shaped molecular structure. tRNAs have two regions of fundamental functional importance: the anti-codon, which is responsible for specific mRNA codon recognition, and the 3' end, to which the tRNAs corresponding amino acid is attached (by aminoacyl-tRNA synthetases). tRNAs cope with the degeneracy of the genetic code in two manners: having more than one tRNA (with a specific anti-codon) for a particular amino acid; and 'wobble' base-pairing, i.e. permitting non-standard base-pairing at the 3rd anti-codon position.
Source: Rfam by way of RNAcentral